This 473-nucleotide ribosomal RNA is filed under the name uncultured bacterium. Its description in RNAcentral is "bacterial SSU rRNA". It matches the Rfam family "Bacterial small subunit ribosomal RNA", at positions 355 to 825 of the family's 1533-position model. The record is from RNAcentral.
UGGGGAAUAUUGCGCAAUGGGCGAAAGCCUGACGCAGCAACGCCGCGUGAGUGAUGAAGGCCUUCGGGUCGUAAAGCUCUGUCGGAGGGAACGAAUGCUCCUGAAGUUAACAGCCUCAGGAGGUGACGGUACCUCCUUAGCAAGCACCGGCUAACUUCGUGCCAGCAGCCGCGGUAAUACGAAGGGUGCAAACGUUGCUCGGAAUUAUUGGGCGUAAAGGGCGCGUAGGUGGACAUAUAAGUAAAUUGUGAAAGACCCGGGCUUAACCUGGGAAGGUCAAUUUAAACGGUAUGUCUGGAGUGGAGUAGAGGGAAGUAGAAUUUCCGGUGUAGCGGUGAAAUGCGUAGAUAUCGGAAGGAAUACCGGUGGCGAAGGCGUCUUCCUGGACUCUAACUGACGCUGAGGCGCGAAAGCAUGGGGAUCAAACAGGAUUAGAUACCCAAGUAGUCCCUGAGCGGGCUGGCAAGGCGCAU